AUGGCAAAUCACAAGCCUGGUGUGAUCAUAUAGGGAUGAUGAUUCCAACUGGUAGAGCUGUUCUGAGCAACUAGGAUAUGGAAAAUACUCACAAAUAAUGGGCAGAAGCAGCAACAGAUGCUGCUCAGGAACAGGGCCCCCGGGAGUGCCCACACCCCAUGCUCUCGGCUCCAGAGGCAUCACGUCAGAGUACAGGACUCUUCUUCAGGAUCGACAGCAUCAUUCUUUAAGACAAGGACAGCUCAAGUCAGCCUGCAAGGAGGAAAUUCCCAGUGAGAAGACUGAGGAGAUCACUGCAGGCAGUGCCUGGGUUAGCUUCCUGGAGAGCCACAACACACUGCACCAAGACAGCACCGUCUCCUACACUGAGCAUGUCUUCGAAAUAUCCCACUGCCACGACCUACUUGGGAUGAUGGUUAACCUGUGUGCUGAAGAUCUCCGAACAGGAUGGGAUGGACACCAAGCUAAGCAGUAUCUCUAGUGUGCCAAGAAGAACAAAGACACUAUUUGGUAGCCCUCUGAGGAAGAAAUCAUCAAAGUGGCUCCCCCAACAAA
Molecule: long non-coding RNA, 555 nt
Filed under: Mus musculus (house mouse)
Lineage: Eukaryota; Metazoa; Chordata; Mammalia; Rodentia; Muridae
Description: predicted gene, 70707
Source: RNAcentral